GGAUCCAGACUUUGAUCAUGGCUCAGGACGAACGCUGGCGGCGUGCUUAACACAUGCAAGUCGAACGAAGCUUGAUUACGGAAUUCUUCGGAAAGAAGUAUGAUAUGACUUAGUGGCGGACGGGUGAGUAACGCGUGAGUAACCUGCCUUUCAGAGGGGGAUAACGUUUGGAAACGAACGCUAAUACCGCAUGAAAUAUAUUUAAGGCGUCUUAGAUAUAUCAAAGAUUUAUCGCUGAGAGAUGGACUCGCGUCUGAUUAGAUAGUUGGUGAGGUAACGGCUCACCAAGUCGACGAUCAGUAGCCGGACUGAGAGGUUGAACGGCCACAUUGGGACUGAGACACGGCCCAGACUCCUACGGGAGGCAGCAGUGGGGAAUAUUGCACAAUGGGCGCAAGCCUGAUGCAGCAACGCCGCGUGAGGGAAGACGGUCUUCGGAUUGUAAACCUUUGUCUUUGGUGAAGAAGAAAGUGACGGUAGCCAAGGAGGAAGCCACGGCUAACUACGUGCCAGCAGCCGCGGUAAUACGUAGGUGGCAAGCGUUGUCCGGAAUUACUGGGUGUAAAGGGAGCGCAGGCGGGACAGCAAGUUGGAUGUGAAAUACCGAGGCUUAACCACGGAGCUGCAUCCAAAACUGUUGUUCUUGAGUGAAGUAGAGGUAGGCGGAAUUCCGAGUGUAGCGGUGAAAUGCGUAGAUAUUCGGAGGAACACCAGUGGCGAAGGCGGCCUACUGGGCUUUAACUGACGCUGAGGCUCGAAAGUGUGGGGAGCAAACAGGAUUAGGUACCCUGGUAGUCCACACUGUAAACGAUGAUUGCUAGGUGUGGGGGGUCUGACCCCCUCCGUGCCGGAGUUAACGCAAUAAGCAAUCCACCUGGGGAGUACGGCCGCAAGGUUGCAACUCAAAUGAAUUGACGG
RNAcentral lists this ribosomal RNA (918 nucleotides) under uncultured Bacillota bacterium. RNAcentral's name for it is "bacterial SSU rRNA". It matches the Rfam family "Bacterial small subunit ribosomal RNA", at positions 1 to 916 of the family's 1533-position model. The record is from RNAcentral. Lineage: Bacteria; Bacillati; Bacillota.